CUUGAUGCAACCUUUCAGUAUGGGUUUUCGCUGGAACGAAAAAUAACUUCAAUCUCUAUGCAAUCAAAACACAAUCGGAAUUGCAGUUCAUUGUCUGGAGGGGACCCUGAGCUUGGAAUGAUUCAACUGAUAAGAGAGUUUCUGAGGGUCAUCGUGGACACCCUUCUGGCAAUCCCUGGGUUGAGGAGCCUCAACUCUCCAGUGGACAGUUGUCCAUGACUGACCUGGAGACCUUUGACAUGAUGUCCAAGGAAAUAAAUGACAAACAGGAUGCAAGACUGAAUGACAGAAUGAUUAAGCUUGGAGUCGGUUUGUCAAAAUUUUGCAUGUUGUGGUUAUUGACAUCUUACAAAUGGAACCUGAAGGGUUCCGUUUGGUUUAAUUGCAGUACUAUCGAAGUUAUUGACUUUUCAGUUAUUUUUGCUUGAUUUACGAGAAAAAAAAUCCUCAAUUCAAUUUUGUCCCAAAGCAAUUCCACUCUUCUGUUCAGAAUUUGUUAUAUACCGAUUGCAAAGCAGUCUUGUGUUGGGAGGGGCUGAUUUGAAGACAUGCAUGUUUCCAAGAAGACCAUGGAGAGAGUAAUCCCAAGGUGUGGUGCCCGAUGUCGAGUUCAUCUUUGUAGAAGCUGUUGGGGACACCCACCUGGUUGCACUGCAAGGAGAGACCCAGCAGCAAGCGGAGGAACAAGUCUAGGUUUCCGUCACUCUCUGAGGCUUUGUGGACGGCCGCUUCGUGGACCCGAGCGAGCGGCGUCUGCUCGCAAGGCAUUGGAAGGUCUUCCUUGUUGUCCUGGAACAGGCUCAUCAUCACGGAACAGGGUCAUCAUCACGUACAGAGUGGCCAGAUAUUCCUGGACGGUCAGAUGGAUGAACUGAAACAUCUUGCGGCCUUGGUAUUUCUUGAGUGGGGGUACCUCCUUGAAGACCUCCGUGAAGACUCACGAGUGUUUUUCAUCAGGGUCAUCUUAUAUUCGGGCUAAUACGGUAAUAAUACCAUAUCAUAUAUUUUAUCAUAUAUAUCAUGUAUCGUAUCAUGAAUAAACAAACACCAAAAAACUCUCAAAUGUCAGUGUACAUAUGUUUGUGAGUGUUUUUCAUCAAGGUCAUCUUAUAUUCGGGCUAAUACGGUAAUAAUACCAUAUCAUAUAUUUUAUCAUAUAUAUCAUGUAUCGUAUCAUGAAUAAACAAACACCAAAAGACU
Molecule: long non-coding RNA, 1200 nt
Organism: Syngnathus typhle (broad-nosed pipefish)
Lineage: Eukaryota; Metazoa; Chordata; Actinopteri; Syngnathiformes; Syngnathidae
Exons: 3
Source: RefSeq, a predicted model, not a curated record